Molecule: ribosomal RNA, 467 nt
Filed under: uncultured bacterium
Lineage: Bacteria
Description: partial 16S ribosomal RNA
Rfam family: Bacterial small subunit ribosomal RNA
Source: RNAcentral
GACGAACGCUGGCGGCGUGCUUAACACAUGCAAGUCGAACGAUAACUUCCGAUCUUGUUCGGUCUGGUUAGUUGCGAACGGGUGAGUAACACUUGAGCAACCUGCCCUUCACUCUGGGAUAUCCUCAUGCAAUCUAGUCUAUUCCCGCCUAUGAGCUCUUGCCUCUUGGUGGGCGUUGGAUAGUUUUUCUGGUUGGGAUGGUCUCGCCGCGUCUCAGUUUGUUGGUGAGGUAGUGGUACACCAAGGCUAUGACGGGUAGCCGGGCUGAGAGGGCGACCGGACACACUGGGACUGAGAUACGGCCCAGACUACUACGGGAGGCAGCAGUGGGGAAUAUUGCACAAUGGGCGGAAGCAUGAUGCAGCGAAGCAGCGUGAGGGAUGACGGCAUUCGGGUUGUAAACCAAUGUCAGCAGGGAAGAAGCGAAAGUGACGGUACCGGGAGAAGAAGCGCCGGCUAACUACGUG